This is a non-coding RNA of Rhineura floridana, 75 nucleotides long. The record is from the annotation of a RefSeq genome assembly. NCBI's taxonomy places the organism in Eukaryota, Metazoa, Chordata, Lepidosauria, Squamata, Rhineuridae.
GAGAGGACCAUAGCUCAGUGGUAGAGCAUCUGCCUGGCAUGCAGAAGGUCCCAAGUUAAAUCCUUGGCCUCACCA